RNAcentral lists this ribosomal RNA (864 nucleotides) under Triticum aestivum (bread wheat). RNAcentral describes it as "partial small subunit ribosomal RNA". The record is from RNAcentral. Lineage: Eukaryota; Viridiplantae; Streptophyta; Magnoliopsida; Poales; Poaceae.
AUGAAAAUUGAUAUAUCCAAAGCCUUCGAUACUCUCUCCUGGGGGUUUCUGUUGCCAGUGUUAAAGGCCAGAGGUUUUGGGGACAGGUGGUGCUCGUGGAUUUGUGGUUUGCUGAGAUCUUCCUCUUCUUUUGUGCUUAUCAAUGGGGAGCUCAGCGACUCAUUUUCUCUGGGCCAGGGUGUUCGUCAAGGGGACCCACUGUCCCCGGCUCUGUUUAUUCUUGCCAUGGAUGUGCUUCAAGGAAUGCUUCGCUGGGCUGACCAGCGGAGGGUACUGUCGGACUUCGGUUUGGGCUCUGAGGUGCCCAGGGCCUCCAUUUUUGCUGAUGAUGCGGUACUCUUCUUCAAGCCACGCACAAACGACCUACAGGCAAUUUCUGCCAUCCUCCAACUCUUCGGACAAGCUUCUGGUCUGCACAUCAAUCUUCAGAAAAGCUCUGCCACAUGCAUUCGUUGUGACGAGGCGGUCGUUUCCAUGGUGGCGGAGCAUUUUCAGUGUCAGCAGCAAUCUUUCCCGAUCAAGUAUCCCGGGCUGCCCCUUUCGGUCUUUCGUUUGAGGCGUCAAGAUGUUUUGCCCUUGGUGGACAAGUACUCGAGCAAGAUGAAAGGGUGGAAGCCCAAAUUGCUGCCGGCAACGGGACGACUGACGCUGGUCAACUCGGUACUUAUGGCACUGCCGAUUCAUUUCAUGGUUGUUCUUCCCUUGCUGAGUUGGGCCAUCAAAAUUUUAAACAGAAGAUGUCGAGCUUUUAUCGGGAAGGGGGAGGAAGACAUCAACGGAGGGCACUGCCUGUUGCCUUGGGCACAAGUUUGUUCCCCCAAAGAGGGUGGUCUUGGCGUACUUAAUCUGAAGUGGUUUGGCUAG